UAGCAAACAUUUCUUUUCUUUUACUUCCUUUUCUUUUGAACACAUACAUACACACUCAAGUUAGAAUCUAUAUACAAACAAUGGAGACGGUCAAAUAAAAAUUUUGAGGCCACAAGAUUUUGCCUUCAACUGGCAAGAACUCCAGAAGGUAGGCUAUAAAAUAGGAGAAAACAAAAGAAUUUGGGUCUCAUAGGUUUUGUUGAUAAAAAAAACCUUACAGUAUAGAAGCACUUGGUGGGGUUGGGGUUGGGAUUACAAAGGCCUUAUCAACACCCUAAUUUCUGGUAUUUAGUGUAGUCAAUUUCAUUCAGACGUAUGCAACAUAACAAAUGCUCGGGCAAGUCCUCUGCCUUGUAUCCCUGAAUUGUCAGGCCAAAAUCCAAGAUGCAAAACUUCAAUCUGUCAUGGAAUGCUUCAAAACCUUUUCUAGAAAUGUAGCUAAAUCUGUGCAUAUCCAAAUCAAUCUCAAAGUAGUUUUCUCCCGAAUAGAAUUCAUGUUGAGGACGUGAUAGAACUGGCUUUUCAUUGUAAGCAUUCAUAAGCUUCUUUUCAGCAGCACUUAAUUGAAGAUCCUCUGCAUUUGCCAAUCGGCCCAAGAUUUUUAGUCUUUCCCUAAAUGGUGCAAUUGUAUCAACUGGGAAACCUUUUACUCUCUCCACUUCAUCAUUAAUUAACCUACUGAUAUUGUCUCGGAAAUGAGAGGGAAGCUCUUUUGAGUAAUUUUCAGACACCUUAAAAUACAUAACCAAGUUCAUUCCUUCACCAUCAUUUUCGCUUUGAAAAAUUGUGGCAGGAUACAAAGGUAUCUGAACAUUUACAACUAGAAUAGAUGGUGCUUCAUCAGAUGCACUAGUAGCAGGAAGUUCCACAAAUUGAGCAAUAUGAUGAAUUUUCCUUUGAGAGAGGAAGAUGUCAGCACCAAACGGAUAAAAUGCAGCACAAUUUGGACCACGAUCUUUCUUCUUGUCCCUGAAAUAGUUCUGUCCUCUGACUUUGAAAGUACUUGGCUCAAUAGGUGACCAACAAUUAGGCAUCCUCUUGUCUAUAGGGCAGUAAGGAAUUGAGGAACCGGCAAUUGGUCUUUGCAGAAGUGCCUUGGGUGAAAAUAGCGUUGGAGUAGCAUGUCCAUCUCUCCAUUUAAAGGAAAGUUUCAGAGAAGGUUUUCUCCUAGAGGCUGAUGUGCCAGGACUUAGAGAUUUUUUCUUUUCAAGCGAAGGGACUGUUGAAGCAAGACAAGGUAAGCAAGUAUUUGGAAGAAGCCCACAAUGACUUGCCUCCUGCAUUACUUCCCCUCCAACACUAGUACUGCCAUUCGAAACUCCAUACCCAGGAACUGUAAUACCCUUUACCUCCUCAUUGGGUUUGGAUCGAGAGUCCUUGUCUUUUGAUUGAACAUUCUCUGCAUGUCCCUCAUUAUCAAGCCCUAGAGUAGUGCUCUCGAAAUGGUCCUUUGGAUUAAAAUCUCUAGGCGAUGAAAAACUCAAUACGCUCUCCGACCCAAUUACAGAGAACCCAUCAUCACGAACACUGUAAAACUCAUCGUCCCAUUCAGAUUCAAGCACUGAAAUAGCAUCAGACCAGGGAGCAUCAGUGCUUCCUUGGAAAGCAAGAUUAGUAUGAGAACGAUCUGUCUGUCCAGCAAAAUCAUUCUUUUCAAUAUUACGAGAAGAAACACGCCUUUUGAUCACUCUCCUCCUCCUCAUUCUAUGCUUCCCAUUGUUGUUGUUCUUCUUCUUCGACGAUAAACCAACACAGUCCUUCGGCCUCGAAGCACAAGCUCCCAUUUUUCGCUCUCUCUCCUUCUCUUCGUGAGACUAAAACUUC
Molecule: unclassified non-coding RNA, 1824 nt
Filed under: Hevea brasiliensis (rubber tree)
Lineage: Eukaryota; Viridiplantae; Streptophyta; Magnoliopsida; Malpighiales; Euphorbiaceae
Source: RNAcentral